Molecule: non-coding RNA, 930 nt
Filed under: Oreobates cruralis (La Paz robber frog)
Lineage: Eukaryota; Metazoa; Chordata; Amphibia; Anura; Strabomantidae
Description: 12S ribosomal RNA
Rfam family: Bacterial small subunit ribosomal RNA
Source: RNAcentral
CACAAAGGCUUGGUCCUGACCUUAAAAUCAAUUACUUCUCAACUUACACAUGCAAGUCUCCGCACCCCAGUGAAAACGCCCUAAACCCCUUUAAUAGGAAAAGGAGCCGGUAUUAGGCACAACAAUUUGCCCAUGAUACCUAGCAACGCCACACCCACAAGGGUUGUCAGCAGUGAUAAACAUUGAAUAUAAGUGACAACUUGAUUCAGUUAGAGAAACCAGAGUCGGCAAAUCUGGUGCCAGCCGCCGCGGUUACACCUCAGGACUCAAAUUGAUUUCAUCGGCAUAAAAUGUGAUUUAAGCCUCAAUUCCACUAGAGUUAAACCUAUACUGAGUAGUUAUAAGCUCGUUACAAGAAAACCGCAUACGAAAGUUACUCUACCCAUACUUGAACUCACGAAAAUUUGGAUCCAAACUAGGAUUAGAUACCCUACUAUGCCAAAUAGUAAACUUUAAUUUACACCGAAAUCGCCAGGGAAUUACGAGCUACGCUUAAAACCCAAAGGACUUGACGGUGCCCCAUAUCCCCCUAGAGGAGCCUGUCCCACAAUCGAUAAUCCCCGUUUAACCUCACCACUUUUAGCCUAUCAGCCUGUAUACUUCCGUCGUCAGUUUACCGCAUGAGCGAUUCUUAGUAAACCUAAUGUCUUAUCAUCAAUACGUCAGGUCAAAGUGCAGCAAAUAAAGUGGAAGAGAGAUGGGCUACACUUUCUACAGUAGAAAAUACGAAAGAUUAUAUGAAACCUCAAUCAGAAGGCGGAUUUAGUAGUAAAAAGAAAUUAGAGUAUUCUUUUUAAUUUGGCCCUGGGGCGUGUACAUACCGCCCGUCACCCUCUUCGUAAUACAUAAAUCAAGUAAAUAACAAAAUUUAACCUCAACAGAAGAGGCAAGUCGUAACAUGGUAAGUGUACCGGAAGGUGUACUUGGAAA